This is a long non-coding RNA of Clupea harengus (Atlantic herring), 2069 nucleotides long. NCBI's taxonomy places the organism in Eukaryota, Metazoa, Chordata, Actinopteri, Clupeiformes, Clupeidae. The record is from Ensembl.
AUGAUGAUAAGAUGUUUAAUGUUUAGAUACAUGAUGAUAAGAUGUUUCAUGAUAAGAUGUUUCAUGUUUAGAUACAUGAUAAGAUGUUUCAUGUUUAUAUACAUGAUGAUAAGAUGUUUCAUGUUUAGAUACAUGUAGUAUAUGAUAAGAUGUUUCAUGUUUAGAUACAUGUAGUAUAUGAUAAGAUGUUUCAUGUUUAGAUACAUGUAGUACAUGAUGAUAAGAUGUUUAAUGUUUAGAUACAAGUAGUAUAUGAUGAUAAGAUGUUUCAUUUUUAGAUACAUGUAGUAUAUGAUGAUUAGAUGUUUCAUUUUUAGAUACAGGUAGUAUAUGAUGAUAAGAUGAUUAAUGUUUAGAUACAUGAUGAUAAGAUGUUUAAUGUUUAGAUACAUGAUGAUAAGAUGUUUAAUGUUUAGAUACAUGUAGUAUAUGAUGAUAAGAUGUUUCAUGUUUAGAUACAUGAUGAUAAGAUGUUUCAUGUUUAGAUACAUGUAGUAUAUUAUAAGAUGUUUCAUGUUUAGAUACAUGUAGUAUAUGAUAAGAUGUUUCAUGUUUAUGAUUAUUAUGAUGUUUAUGUAUGAUGAUAAGAUGAUUCAUGUUUAGAUACAUAUAGUAUAUAUGAUGAUAAGAUGUUUCAUGUUUAGAUACAUGUAGUAUAUGAUAAGAUGUUUCAUGUUUAGAUACAUGUAGUGUAUGAUAAGAUGAUUCAUGUUUAGAUACAUGUAGUAUAUGAUGAUAAGAUGUUUCAUGUUUAGAUACAUGAUGAGAAGAUGUUUCAUGUUUAGAUACAUGUAGUAUAUGAUGAUAAGAUGUUUCAUGUUUAGAUACAUGUAGUAUAUGAUGAUUAGAUGUUUAAUGUUUAGAUACAUGAUGAUAAGUUGUUUCAUGAUAAGAUGUUUCAUGUUUAGAUACAUGAUGAUAAGAUGUUUAAUGUUUAGAUACAAGUAGUAUAUGAUGAUAAGAUGUUUCAUGUUUAGAUACAUGUAGUAUAUGAUGAUUAGAUGUUUAAUGUUUAGAUACAUGAUGAUAAGUUGUUUCAUGAUAAGAUGUUUCAUGUUUAGAUACAUGAUGAUAAGAUGUUUCAUGUUUAGAUACAUGUAGUAUAUGAUAAGAUGUUUCAUGUUUAGAUACAUGUAGUAUAUGAUGAUAAGAUGAUUCAUGUUUAGAUACAUGUAGUAUAUGAUGAUUAGAUGUUUCAUUUUUAGAUACAGGUAGUAUAUGAUGAUAAGAUGAUUAAUGUUUAGAUACAUGAUGAUAAGAUGUUUAAUGUUUAGAUACAUGAUGAUAAGAUGUUUCAUGUUUAGAUACAUGUAGUAUAUUAUAAGAUGUUUCAUGUUUAGAUACAUGUAGUGUAUGAUAAGAUGAUUCAUGUUUAGAUAUGAUGAUGAUGAUGAUAAGAUGUUUAAUGUUUAGAUACAUGAUGAUAAGAUGUUUAAUGUUUAGAUACAUGUAAUAGUAACAUAAUGUUUAGUAAACAUGAUGAUUAGAUGUUUCAUUUUUAGAUACAUGUAGUAUAUGAUGAUAAGAUGAUUCAUGUUUAGAUACAUGAUGAUAAGAUGUUUAAUGUUUAGAUACAUGAUGAUAAGAUGUUUAAUGUUUAGAUACAUGUAGUAUAUGAUGAUAAGAUGUUUCAUGUUUAGAUACAUGAUGAUAAGAUGUUUCAUGUUUAGAUACAUGUAGUAUAUGAUGAUAAGAUGUUUCAUGUUUAGAUACAUGUAGUAUAUUAUAAGAUGUUUCAUGUUUAGAUACAUGUAGUAUAUGAUAAGAUGUUUCAUGUUUAGGUACAUGUAGUAUAUGAUAAGAUGUUUCAUGUUUAGAUACAUGUAGUAUAUGAUGAUAAGAUGUUUCAUGUUUAGAUACAUGUAGUAUAUGAUGAUAAGAUGUUUCAUGUUUAGAUACAUGUAGUAUAUUAUAAGAUGUUUCAUGUUUAGAUACAUGUAGUAUAUGAUAAGAUGUUUCAUGUUUAGGUACAUGUAGUAUAUGAUAAGAUGUUUCAUGUUUAGAUACAUGUAGUAUAUGAUGAUUAGAUGUUUAAUGUUUAGAUACAUGAUGAUAAGUUGUUUCAUGAU